UUCUAAUGAUGUUUCAUUAAUGAGUUUAGGUCAAUGCGGCUCUCAUGGGGUUUCUAGCCGAGAUAAUUCAAGCGAAAGCAAAUUGAGGGAUCUCCUCGAUGGCUCGAAAUAUGUGCUUACUUUUGGGAGUAAGUUCAUCUUUUCUGGUUUGAUUUUUAGGAGAAUGUCAGUUACUUGAAGGAAUUAUGUCACCACUGUUGCUUGCUUUUGUCGUUCUUUAUAAUUUUUUUAUUUUUAAUCUAAAAGAAAUAUAGGGCAACUUUAUAAUUAAAAAAGUUAGCAGUUUCCUCCAUUGGCCAUCAAUUUUUCCCUUUAAAAUGAGAAUGUUCUUUGUCUUUCAUAUGAACAGCCAAAAGAAUGUGAAAAAUAGCAAAGAAGUUUCGAAAUCAUUAGUGAAGAAUGUCCUUUGAUGUGGUAACAGAUAGUAGUAGACUAGUAAUAAUAGUGGCAUAUUUAAGUUACAACCUCGAUCUAAAAGAAGGGUAGAGUUUGAUGAAUGAGGAUCCAACCUCAUGUUAUCUGCUCUAAGCUGUGAGUUCUCACUUCUUUUAGUUUGAUACUGCAACAAAAUUUAAGUUAUUCAAACACAUACACUUUAUUUUUAGUUUGCUUUAUCAACACCACGUCCAAUUGUAUUAAAAUUUACCUUCACUUGAGUGCAUUUACCUCUUUGAAUAUUGAGGACUCUGUAUACUAGUACUACAGUUUGCUGGUUUGCAAAUUGCAAAGAAUACCUUAUCCUUAUUUGUAUUUUACUUUGUAGAGUAAGUACUAUGUACUAUGUAGGGUCUGAUCUCUGUGUUAGCCAUAGCAACUCAGUUAAAUGCAAUUUCUACUACAUCUGUUUGUAUGUAAUGCACUAAUGCAGUCAUCAUUCAUAGAUAUUGAAAUGAGAAAAUUUUAUUUA
Arachis ipaensis is the source of this 907-nucleotide non-coding RNA. NCBI's taxonomy places the organism in Eukaryota, Viridiplantae, Streptophyta, Magnoliopsida, Fabales, Fabaceae. The record is from RefSeq and is a predicted model, not a curated record.